This 496-nucleotide ribosomal RNA is filed under the name uncultured bacterium. Its description in RNAcentral is "partial 16S ribosomal RNA". It matches the Rfam family "Bacterial small subunit ribosomal RNA", at positions 28 to 507 of the family's 1533-position model. The record is from RNAcentral.
GAUGAACGCUGGCGGCGUGCCUAUACAUUCAAGUCGAGCGAACGGACGAGAAGCUUGCUUCUCUGAUGUUAGCCGCGGACGGGUUAGUAACCCGUGGAUAACCUACCUAUAAGACUGGGAUAACUUCCGGAAACCGGAGCUAAUACCGGAUAAUAUUUUUAACCGCAUUGUUCAAAAGUUAAAGACGGUCUUGCUGUUACUUAUAGAUGGAUCCGCGCUGCAUUAGCUAGUUGGUAAGGUAACGGCUUACCAAGGCAACGAUGCAUAGCCGACCUGAGAGGGUGAUCGGCCACACUGGAACUGAGACACGGUCCAGACUCCUACGGGAGGCAGCAGUAGGGAAUCUUCCGCAAUGGGCGAAAGCCUGACGGAGCAACGCCGCGUGAGUGAUGAAGGUCUUCGGAUCGUAAAACUCUGUUAUUAGGGAAGAACAUAUGUGUAAGUAACUGUGCACAUCUUGACGGUACCUAAUCAGAAAGCCACGGCUAACUACGUG